UACGGGGGGGGCAAGCGUUGUUCGGAAUUACUGGGCGUAAAGGGCUCGUAGGCGGCCAACUAAGUCGGAUGUGAAAUCCCUCGGCUUAACCGGGGAACUGCAUCUGAUACUGGAUGGCUUGAGUUCGGGAGAGGGAUGCGGAAUUCCAGGUGUAGCGGUGAAAUGCGUAGAUAUCUGGAGGAACACCUAUGGCGAAGGCAGCUCUCUGGGACGGUACUGACGCUGAGACGCGAAAGCGUGGGGGGCGAACAGG
This 253-nucleotide ribosomal RNA is filed under the name uncultured bacterium. Its description in RNAcentral is "partial 16S ribosomal RNA". It matches the Rfam family "Bacterial small subunit ribosomal RNA", at positions 524 to 776 of the family's 1533-position model. The record is from RNAcentral.